CUGGUUGAUCUGGUAGUGCCUUCUGCUAUGGCGUGCAGGCAGAGAGGAGGCUCUUGGAGUCCCUCAGGCUGGUUCAAUGCAGGCUGGAGCACCUACAGGUCGAUUUCUCUCUUCUUCGCCCUUGUGACUUCAGUGAACUCCAUAGAUGUUUCUCAGUUGGUAAAUCCUGCCUUUCCAGGCACUGUCACUUGCGAUGAAAGGGAAAUAACAGUGGAGUUCCCAAGCAGUCCUGGCACCAAGAAAUGGCAUGCAUCUGUGGUGGAUCCUCUUGGUCUCGACAUGCCGAACUGCACUUACAUCCUGGACCCAGAAAAGCUCACCCUGAGGUCUACCUAUGAUAACUGUACCAGGAGAGUGCAUGGUGGACACCAGAUGACCAUCAGAGUCAUGAACGACAGUGCUGCCUUAAGACACGGAGCUGUCAUGUAUCAGUUCUUCUGUCCAGCUAUGCAAGUAGAAGAGACCCAGGGGCUUUCAGCAUCUACAAUCUGCCAGAAGGAUUUCAUGUCUUUUUCCUUGCCACGGGUCUUCUCUGGCUUGGCUGACGACAGUAAGGGGACCAAAGUUCAGAUGGGAUGGAGCAUUGAGGUUGGUGAUGGUGCAAGAGCCAAAACUCUGACCCUGCCAGAGGCCAUGAAGGAAGGCUUCAGCCUCUUGAUUGACAACCACAGGAUGACCUUCCACGUGCCAUUCAAUGCCACUGGAGUGACUCACUAUGUGCAAGGUAAUAGUCAUCUCUACAUGGUGUCUCUGAAGCUUACAUUUAUAUCUCCUGGACAGAAGGUGAUCUUCUCUUCACAAGCUAUUUGUGCACCAGAUCCUGUGACCUGCAAUGCCACACACAUGACUCUCACCAUACCAGAGUUUCCUGGGAAGCUUAAGUCUGUGAGCUUUGAAAACCGGAACAUUGAUGUGAGCCAGCUGCAUGAUAAUGGAAUUGAUCUAGAAGCAACAAAUGGCAUGAAAUUGCAUUUCAGCAAAACUCUGCUCAAAACGAAAGUAUGUUCAAUUGUCAACCACUGAACUCCACCGGGUCCUGACUUGAAGUAUACUCUUGUGGGUAGUCCUCAUACGGCUGAUAACUUGCCCGUGAGCUCUAAUUGCCAACAUAACAGAUUCAAACUCCAAAAGGCCUCAUUUGAUCAUCUUGUAUAAGUGAAAUAUCAAGUAACUAAAGUUCAUUCUCUAACACAAAACCUCUUUAAUUUCUGUCAUGAAAAAUCGUCUAAGUCUUUCUA
Molecule: small RNA, 1238 nt
Filed under: Pan troglodytes (chimpanzee)
Lineage: Eukaryota; Metazoa; Chordata; Mammalia; Primates; Hominidae
Description: retained intron
Source: RNAcentral